Molecule: long non-coding RNA, 375 nt
Organism: Ostrinia nubilalis (European corn borer)
Lineage: Eukaryota; Metazoa; Arthropoda; Insecta; Lepidoptera; Crambidae
Exons: 4
Source: RefSeq, a predicted model, not a curated record
CGGCCGCCUGCCGCCGCCGCCCGCCCCGCCCGCCGCCGCCGCGCCCGCGCCGCUCGCAGAAGUAAUGGAGAGUUCUUCGUCGUCGGCUGCUGAACCUAUUCCCGACGCGCUGGCGGGCGCCGCAUUCGACGCGCCCGACGACUUGGCGCCAGCGGGCCCGGUGAGCGCGCGCUUCCCGCGCGACGCGGCCGAGCGCGAGGCGGCGCUGCGCCAGCGCAAGGAGCGCCUGCUGGCCGCCGCGCGCCACAGGUACCUGUCGGCGCGCGCGCCGCGGCCCAGCUGAGAGGCGCGCGGCGCCGCCGCCGCCACGCGGCAGCACUUCAAGCGCCUGCUGCUCACGCACACGCGCAAGAACCGCUGAGCGGCGCCCCACAC